RNAcentral lists this long non-coding RNA (397 nucleotides) under Zostera marina. Its description in RNAcentral is "long non-coding RNA (ZMAR_LNC000511)". Lineage: Eukaryota; Viridiplantae; Streptophyta; Magnoliopsida; Alismatales; Zosteraceae. The record is from RNAcentral.
AGUCCCCCCUGACUUGGUUGGCUACGAGCCGGGAGUCCGUGUGGAAGUGUACCUUGGACGCGCCUAGUGCGCGAGUUAGCCGGAUCCCCGAAAGGAGGGCUUCGUAUUCCGCUGCAUUGUUAGUCGCCCGGAAUUCGAAGUGGAUCGAGUACUCGAUUUUUUCCCCUGUCGGGGACGUGACCACGACCCCCGCGCCGCAUCCGCUAUUGCUGGACGACCCGUCCACGUGGGCCGUCCACCACUGCUCGUCUGCCUCCACCACUCCUCUCGGGGCUAACUCGGCCAUGAAGUCUGCCACCGCCUGCCCCUUGAUUGCCCUUGCUGGCACGAUGACUAGGUGAAACUCGCUGAGUUCCAUGGCCCACUUGGUUAGUCUUCCUGAGACGUCCGGCUUCUG